This 405-nucleotide long non-coding RNA is filed under the name Vigna radiata. Its description in RNAcentral is "long non-coding RNA (VRAD_LNC015274)". The record is from RNAcentral. Lineage: Eukaryota; Viridiplantae; Streptophyta; Magnoliopsida; Fabales; Fabaceae.
UCAAAAAGGCACCAAGAAGGGAGAAAACCCAAACUCGGGCGAAAGGAACGAAAAGCAGCGCCUCCAGGAUCAACGUUAGUCGCCCGGGCGACGGCCCCGACGCCCGGGCAACGGACGCCCGAAGCUUAGGCGUCCAAAACUGGCGCCUAAGCCUCACAUGAACCUCAAUUCACGCUUGGGCGAGCUCCCUGCGACGCUUGAGCGUAAUUUCACGUGGAACAGGCCCUAAUUCUGCUCUGAUUUGAUUCUUUUGGACCGGGCCACACUUUGGGACGCGUCUGACAGUAUUUAAAGGACCCUGGGGCUCUAGGUUUUGCAUCCUUGGCAGAAGAGAGCAUAGCAAUACACUCCUAACCAAUUCUUAGUCUUUUCAUUCUUUCUUUUCUUCCAUUAUUCAUAGAGUUC